AGCGAACGAGGGAGGAAGGAAGAACACAGGCCAGUCGAACGAACCUUUCGGGGUUAGUGGCGGACGGGUGAGUAACACGUGGGAACGUGCCUUUAGGUUCGGAAUAACUCAGGGAAACUUGUGCUAAUACCGAAUGUGCCCUUCGGGGGAAAGAUUUAUCGCCUUUAGAGCGGCCCGCGUCUGAUUAGCUAGUUGGUUGAGGUAAUGGCUCACCAAGGCGACCAGCAGUAGCUGGUCUGAGAGGAUGAUCAGCCACAUUGGGACUGAGACACGGCCCAAACUCCUACGGGAGGCAGCAGUGGGGAAUCUUGCGCAAUGGGCGAAAGCCUGACGCAGCCAUGCCGCGUGCAUUAUGCAGGUGUGAGGAUUGUAAAAUUCUUUCACCGGGGACGAUAAUGACGGUACCCGGAGAAGAAGACCCGGCUCCCUUCGUC
RNAcentral lists this ribosomal RNA (434 nucleotides) under uncultured bacterium. RNAcentral's name for it is "partial 16S ribosomal RNA". It matches the Rfam family "Bacterial small subunit ribosomal RNA", at positions 29 to 507 of the family's 1533-position model. The record is from RNAcentral.